This is a long non-coding RNA of Felis catus (domestic cat), 2526 nucleotides long. RefSeq lists it as uncharacterized. The transcript has 2 exons. Lineage: Eukaryota; Metazoa; Chordata; Mammalia; Carnivora; Felidae. The record is from RefSeq and is a predicted model, not a curated record.
CUCUGGUCGCAGAGGAUGGAAGGAAUCAGUUAGAGGGGGUUGAAUGGAGGCACUGGAGGCAUGGCCACAUGGCGGAUGGUCUGGGCCCAAGACAUGGAAUGUGGGAAUGUGGGACAGCAGGCAGCGGCCAGCUUUGGGCUUGGGCCUUUAAUGUAAGGAUUGGGGAUACCCAAGGGACCUCACAGGUCCUCCAAUCCCCCCAUUGUCCAAGAGCGAGAACAGGCGUGGGAGAAGCUAGCUUAAGGUCCCCAGUAAGGAUUUAGCGGUCUGUUCUCCAUAGACAGUCAUCCCCUCGCCUCCACUCUCCUACCCUGUCUGUCCCAAACAGAGAAAGGGGCAAAGAGAGAUGCUAACUCCACCAUUAUCUCACCGAGGCUCCCCAGGGAACCUGGAGGACCAACCCAUUUCAUAGAUGGGGACAACCGAGACAUCCCGUCAGACUACACCUUUGCCACGCCUCUCCCACCUCCCCGUGGAGGGGAUCGGUGCACCGCAUUCCUCUGGGAGUAAUACUGAUAUCUUGAAAUCCUCGGCACUGGGGGCAGGUGAGAGGACCCACCUUGGGAUUCUCCCAAAUGUAACCGGAAUGUGGGCCAUGCCUCCAGGGGCCUGAGAUGUCAACACAAAGAAAAAAAAUGACUCCCCACGUCCCCUGGCUCAAACCCAGUACAAAAGUGACUAUUUACAAUGAAGGGGUGGGGAGUGUGGGGGGAGGGCACAGAUAAGACUGGGGCCGGAGUCAGCGCUCCGCGUGCAGGAGGCCACGCCCCUGGCCCCGCCUUUGAAAGGGACAAAGCCAAACAGCAGAGAUAUUUAUAAAGGGUCACUCUCCCCAGGGCGGGGAGGACCCUAAGGUGAGGGAUGGGGUAGGCCAUGGGAUGGGGUGCGGGUGGGGAGGCAUGGGCGGUGGGAGGAGAUGGAGGAAAGGUAGCUGCUGCCCCUCGCCUCCCCCCUCCCCCUCGCCGGACACACAGUUUUCCGUGGGAUGAACACAGAAAGGGUUAAUCAAAAAGAGUUCGAUGAGCGAGUCUGACGGUCGAGUGGGGCGGGCUGGAGCAAUGAGGCCGCAGGUCCCGGUGGCCGGUGGUGAUGGAGUCACUUAGAAUAUGAGAGGUUGGUGGUUUUGGGGGGGUGGGGUAGGGAGGAGGAAAGGUGUGCGGGAGGGGGAUUAGGCGGUCCCCCCACUUAUCUCUGAGAGACAAGAAUGUCCUGGACUGGCUGAGAAGGGGUUAAAAAACAGCAAACCCCCCCCCCCCAGAGAUGUACCCCAUCUCCCUCCCUGCCACCCAGCAAUCCCCAACGCGACUGGCAGGGGCCACUGAGACGGACCUGACACACACCAGCCGCGGCGCCACCGAGAGAAACCCCUCCACCACGGCGUCCAGACAGCUGACUGCAGUGUAGAGGGAUCAGAUAGCAGGGCUGGGUGUCGCGACUCCACGAGAGCCGUAAACUUGGGUCCCCGGCCCUCGGUGCCCCAACUUGGGCAUCGCGAUCCCGUCCUCCCCAUCGUGACAUCCGGUUCAGGCUUUCGCGAUAGCCGGCCUCGGAGUUUCAAAGUCGGCGCGGGGCAGGGGCGUGGCCAACAGCGAAGGCCUGCCGGGCUGUCGCGAGAGGUGGGCACCCAAUCAGCAGCCUGGACGCCCCCAAUAGCCAGCCUCGUCGCCGCUCUUAGUUAAUACUUUUUCCCCACGGCUCCGCGUAUCACGACCUCGAGUCCCGGUCUUGCCACAGCGACCAUCAAUGCGGGGGAAUCCCCUCACUUUCCAAACGGAAGACCCCCGGGCCACGACCCACCAAAGAGGGGUGCGAGUGGAGAAGGAGUGUCAGCGACUGGCCAUGGCCCAGUACAGGAAGUGCAUGCUCCAUCCCAGUGACGUCACGGGAAAUACCCUGGAGAUCCCACAGGAAGUACUUGCCCCCAUGAUAUCCCUGAAGUAGCCUUCAAGGACGGCUCACUGAGACAUCAUAGGAAGUACCUGUCUCUUCUGUCAUCACAGGAAGUGACCUCUGGGGAGCUGCUUCCCGUGACAUCAUAAGGAGUGCCAGAAGCACCCCAGAAAGUACUUGACUCAGUGACAUCCCAACAGAGACCUUCAUUCCCAUCACUCUAAGUAAAACCACCGAAGAUGCCACCGGAAGUUGUUCCAGCCCGUCGCAAGAGUCAUGCCCACAGGACUGGACCAAUCCCAGAGCCGGCCUCAUUCCCAGCAGGCACUGCACACCGUUCCCCCACCAUAACAACCUGACAACAGAACAGUGAACAGUCCCACCUAGAAGGGGCAAUUCCAAGAGGGGUAGAGCCGCUGAGAAGAUCUGGGAACUCUGGGGUCCCUGCUCCGAAUACCCCAUUUCAGCUCAGAUUCCUCGGCUACCUCUACUCCCAUCCCUUCCUUCAGAUCUGGAACCGAAAGCAGGAGAGGUGGGGUGUUGUUUUGGGGAGGCCCCUCAUUCUAGGUGGCCCAGAGGCUCCCUCCCCUCCUCCCAUAUGGAAACAAAAACUUCUAAAGGUGAGGGGGGGGGGGC